AAAGCAGUUACAAAUAUAUAUCAAAUAUAAACCAGGAUUUAUAAAUGUUUUAACCUAUUUAUCGCCCCGUUUAUCACUCGAUUUAUUUUUUAAUGUUCUAAAUUAUUUUUAUUGGAAUCUAGGCUAAACCUCGGUGCUACUUUUAGGUAUGCACCCAGAUCUACAACGUACGUCACGAGUCACGUGUUAUUUGUAAGUUUCCAGCCGCCAUUUUUGGAAUUUUGAAGCGAUCAAAGCUCCGUGCCUAGACUGCAGUUUUUGGCAAUUCUCAACAUUAGGAAAGAAAACUUGAAACAGCAACCAAGAUACAGAUACAUGUACAGAUGCCCUUAAAGUUUUUGAUGAAGUUAAGAGCAAGAUACUAUCCCAUCCAGCAGUGAUACGGUAUGACCAAUUCCCAGACAAUAUGACAAAGAAUAACAAGUGGACACCAACAGUUCACAUAUGAGAAGAUGUUUUUAAGGCAGACUUCAUACAUGUACAGGAGCUUCUAAGGAGG
This is a long non-coding RNA of Mytilus californianus (California mussel), 499 nucleotides long. RefSeq lists it as uncharacterized. The transcript is spliced from 4 exons. The record is from RefSeq and is a predicted model, not a curated record. Lineage: Eukaryota; Metazoa; Mollusca; Bivalvia; Mytilida; Mytilidae.